RNAcentral lists this ribosomal RNA (478 nucleotides) under uncultured bacterium. RNAcentral's name for it is "partial 16S ribosomal RNA". It matches the Rfam family "Bacterial small subunit ribosomal RNA", at positions 28 to 523 of the family's 1533-position model. The record is from RNAcentral.
GACGAACGCUGGCGGCGUGCUUAACACAUGCAAGUCGAACGGUAAGGCCCUUCGGGGUACACGAGUGGCGAACGGGUGAGUAACACGUGGGUGAUCUGCCCUGCACUUCGGGAUAAGCCUGGGAAACUGGGUCUAAUACCGGAUAGGACCACUGCCUGCAUGGGUGGUGGUGGAAAGCUUUUGCGGUGUGGGAUGGGCCCGCGGCCUAUCAGCUUGUUGGUGGGGUGAUGGCCUACCAAGGCGACGACGGGUAGCCGGCCUGAGAGGGUGACCGGCCACACUGGGACUGAGAUACGACCCAGACUCCUACGGGAGGCAGCAGUGGGGAAUAUUGCACAAUGGGCGCAAGCCUGAUGCAGCGACGCCGCGUGGGGGAUGACGGCCUUCGGGUUGUAAACCUCUUUCAGCACCGACGAAGCGCAAGUGACGGUAGGUGCAGAAGAAGGACCGGCCGACUACGUGCCAGCCGCCGCCGUAA